ACUCCUACGGGAGGCAGCAGUGGGGAAUUUUGGACAAUGGGGGCAACCCUGAUCCAGCCAUGCCGCGUGAGUGAAGAAGGCCUUCGGGUUGUAAAGCUCUUUCGGCGGGGAAGAAAUGGCAACGGCUAAUAUCCGUUGUUGAUGACGGUACCCGCAUAAGAAGCACCGGCUAACUACGUGCCAGCAGCCGCGGUAA
This 196-nucleotide ribosomal RNA is filed under the name uncultured Azospira sp. RNAcentral's name for it is "partial 16S ribosomal RNA". It matches the Rfam family "Bacterial small subunit ribosomal RNA", at positions 335 to 523 of the family's 1533-position model. Lineage: Bacteria; Pseudomonadati; Pseudomonadota; Betaproteobacteria; Rhodocyclales; Rhodocyclaceae. The record is from RNAcentral.